This 306-nucleotide unclassified non-coding RNA is filed under the name plant metagenome. RNAcentral's name for it is "partial contains 5.8S ribosomal RNA, internal transcribed spacer 2, and large subunit ribosomal RNA". The stretch from base 1 to 105 matches the Rfam family "5.8S ribosomal RNA", at positions 50 to 154 of the family's 154-position model. The record is from RNAcentral.
GAAAUGCGAUAAGUAAUGUGAAUUGCAGAAUUCAGUGAAUCAUCGAAUCUUUGAACGCACAUUGCGCCCGCCAGUAUUCUGGCGGGCAUGCCUGUCCGAGCGUCAUUUCAACCAUCAAGCCCCCGGGCUUGUGUUGGGGACCUGCGGCUGCCCGCAGGCCCUGAAAACCAGUGGCGGGCUCGCUGUCACACCGAGCGUAGUAGCGAUCGCCUCGCUCAGGGCGUGCUGCGGGUUCCGGCCGUUAAACAGCCUUACAAAACCCAAGGUUGACCUCGGAUCAGGUAGGAAGACCCGCUGAACUUAAGC